This 1094-nucleotide long non-coding RNA is filed under the name Equus caballus (horse). Its description in RNAcentral is "lncRNA (ENSECAG00000049058.1)". The record is from RNAcentral. Lineage: Eukaryota; Metazoa; Chordata; Mammalia; Perissodactyla; Equidae.
CUGGAUUCUCCAGCUGGGCCCAAUGGAAUCAGAAGAGUCCUUCUAAGUGAAGGAGGGAGGCAGGAGAAUCAGAGUCAGAGUGAUGCAUCGUGGGAAACACUUGACUGUCCAUUGCUAGCUUUGAAGAUGGAGGGAGGGGCCAUGAGUGGAGGAAUGCUGGCCUCUAGAAGCUGGAAAUGGCCGAGAAGUGGAUUCUCCAGAGGGAACACAGCCGUGCUGACACCUUGAUUUUAGCCUGGUGAGACGCUGCCACAGCGUGGCUUGAUGAGCGGUGUGUAGGUCCACAUCAGGGAUCCAAACCCACAAACCCUGGACCACUGAAGCAGAGCGCACAAAUUUAACUGCUAUGCCACUCAGCCGGCCCCCAGAAUAUUUUUAAUAGACAGUGACAGAAAACCCAAAGUGGCUUGAACAAGCAAACAGCAAAGCAGGAGAGAAUGAUUUAUGUAACUAAGAAGUCUAAAGGCAGACAGCUUCAGGCAAGGCUGUACCUGGGUGCUUGAUGCCGUCAGCAGGAAUCGGCUCUCCCAGCCUCUUGGCUUGGCUUCCUCCCCUCUGUACUGGUGUCCUUCUCAAGUGGUUUUUCCGUUGAUGAAAGAAGAUGGCCACCACCGGUCACAGGCCUCAACAGCCCAACGGAAAUAGAACUUCUCUUCCCCAGGAUUCCAAACCUAAGUGCUCCCUGUUCCCCAGGUGGGGGAUGGUGUGGUGCCUGGGAGAGCAGGGCCAAGGGUCCAGCCACCAUGCUCCUCUCUACCUGAUUUCCUGGGAUGAGCCUACUCCCAUGGGCUUCCCGCUCCCCACUGAUUUCUCCUUACAAAGGAUUCACGGCCGCGCUUCUUCCCUCCCUCGCCUCCUUUCCAAGCCCCGCUUCACUGGUAGCAAAGAGGAGCAGGACUUCCUGUUGGAAGACAGGAUUUGGGGUCCACUCCCAGCUUCACGGUCUGCUUUUUGUGUCCCAUAAUAAUCACUUAUUCAGUCCACAAAUGUCUGCUGAGCACCUACUGUGUGCUACUCUGAGUUUCCAAGGCUGUUAGUUGUUCCAGGCAGGGGCCAUCGCCCAGGAGCCUUCCGAAAGAAAUGAGUUCUGUCCA